CACCCCUAUAGAUUUAUUUUUUCACUUAAUAUUGUCUCUUAAACAUAGUCCAUUUAAAAAAUAAUCUUAAUGGCUACAUGCUAGCCCAUGGGGUUGAUGAGGCAUAAUUUACUUGUAUCAUUGGAUAUGUCAGGGAUUCUAAGUUUUCACUAUUGUAGGUAAUUAACACUACAGUAAACAUCUUCAUGCACAGUUUUCUUUCUUUGCUUAUCUUUCUGUUAUUUAUUUUUAACUUAAUUGCAUUGUAAUCAGAGAACAUAAUUUGUGUGAUACUGAUUCUGGGAAAUUCGUUGAGACUGGCUCUCUAGUCAAGUGUAUGUUCAGCUUGGAUAAAUGUUUUCUGCACUGUUAAGGAAGAAAAUGCCCAGGAUAGAGAAAGAAAAAUGGGCAUUCUCUGUCACUGGUACAAGAGUCUGCACUUGUCCCUUUUUCAGCAUUGCUCAGUGGCCUUAUCACAGCCAAUGAGGUUUAUCCAAGGUGCAGUUAUUACUAAUUGAAAACUUUUCCCUAUACGUGCCCUUUUAUGAUCAAGCUUGUUAAUUGUAUUAUUUCUAUUUUCUAUGUGCUGCUAAUUUGGGGGCUGUGUGACAUCAGUUACUGAGAAGGGUAUAUGUUAAAUUCUAUGGUGGUGGACUUGUCAGUUUUUCCUCAGCAUUCUGUCACUUUUUGCUCUUUGUUAUUUGAAGAUAUCAUUAGGGACAUAUAAUUUCAGAAUUAGCAUCUCCUCCUGGUGAAUUGAAUCUGUUACCUUUAUGUAGUUACCAUCCUUGUUUCUAAUAAUGCAUUUUGCCUUGAAGACUAUUUUGUCCAAUGUGAACAGAGCUCCUCUAGCUUUCUUCUGGGUAGGGUCUGCCUGGCAUAUGCUUUUGCAUCUUUAUUUUCAACCUUUUUAUGUGUCAGAGGCUGGCUAGGUGCUCACUAAUUCCAUUUCCUCUUCCUAGGAGCACAGGACUACACUUCCCAGCUCUUUUUGCAAUUCAGUUGGGGCCACCCAAGGAAUACGGGCAGAAGUGAUGUAUGGCACUUCUAGGCUUGGCAACAAUUUCAUACAUGAUUUUCUGUGUGCUCUCUCCCCUGUUUACAUGUCUAGAGGCAAAGAACUCCAAGGUGAUAGAACUAGGAUUGAAGGACCCCAGAUUCCAAUAUCACUGAUUGAAAGAGUGACAGCCAGAGGAGCAACCUGACCUGAUGGGCUCUUAUAUUUUCUCUAGGAUACAGCAAGUAUCUGGACUGUUUUGCUUUGUUUUGCUCCAAUUUGAAGACAUCUUUGUUUUAACUGCCCAUGUCGCAUCCUUCUAAACCUGGGAAAGUGUGAUUUCGUAAAUUGUCAGUAUAGACAGACAUUCUAAGAACCACAGAGAGAAGAGUGGAUGGAUCAAGAGACAAAUGCAAAACCUGGAAAAGGAAUCAAUAUUGGAACCAACAGACGGAGUUUCUCUAAACAUCUAGUCCAGCAUAUUGUUGGAAACACAAGUCCUGGUGUUAAAAUACAGUGGGACCUCAGUGUUUGAACGUGAUCUGUUCCUGAAGCCCAUUCGAGUUCGGAAACGUUAGAAAACCGAGGGAUCCACAGCCGACAGCUGGGCCUCAGGAUCUUGCCCUCCGUGGAAGCCGUGGGGCACGUUCGA
Molecule: long non-coding RNA, 1628 nt
Organism: Miniopterus natalensis
Lineage: Eukaryota; Metazoa; Chordata; Mammalia; Chiroptera; Miniopteridae
Source: RefSeq, a predicted model, not a curated record